This is a long non-coding RNA of Bombus terrestris (buff-tailed bumblebee), 1965 nucleotides long. RefSeq lists it as uncharacterized. NCBI's taxonomy places the organism in Eukaryota, Metazoa, Arthropoda, Insecta, Hymenoptera, Apidae. The transcript has 2 exons. The record is from RefSeq and is a predicted model, not a curated record.
UCGGUUAUUCCCCUAAAAUUAUCGCGGCCUGUAAUUUCUCAAAACGAGCUUCAACGAUUCUCCAGUCGUUUCAUUGUGAUAGAAAUACUUUGGUUAACCGUAUAACCGUUGAUGAUGAAGAAAUCACGGUCUCCGGUGUGUAAAUUAAAUCGAAGAAUGUUCAGAUUGAUGCAGGAAACAAAGAUUAUUAUAAUCAUCUUGUGCUUCACCGUAUUUUUACGUAUGUUAUUUAAUUUCGAGUUACCAUUAAAAUUUAUAGUAAGUAAAGCACGUGUUAAUUUUAUCUAGAUUUUAUCGUGAAAUUUGUUGAAAUCUUCGAAUUGCGAAAUGGGAAGAUGUUGAGCUCGGUAUAAGGAGCUGAGAUCAUUGUAAUUAUCUAAUAUUUCAUCAUAUCUUUACAUAUGAGUCGUUAAAAAACCGUAUUGACCAAUUCUAUAAAUUAAAAAGUAAAAAGAACGAUGGUAUUACAAAUGUUAUCUUACUAAAUUUAGCAUGAAAUUUACGAUUAUUUAUAUAAAUUGUUUUUUGACAAGUUGAAUAAUUGAAUACUGAUUGAAUAUCCGAAUAAUAAAAUUAAGGAAAUCCAUUAAGCUUGUCUAGAUUUUAUGGCAAAUUUUUAAAAAUCUUUGUAUUGCAAAAGGCAAUACCGUACGUAAAAUAAAUUUGUCACUUUUCCCUUUCUCUUUGUGUUUUCACAGAGGUUUUCCUAGAUCUACAAUACCUAAUGGUAUUAAUCAAUGUUCCAUUUAGAGCGCCUAUUGUACCAUCGAGUUGGUGGAAUUUAUACUAAGGAGACCUUAUUCUGCCACGAUCAAUAAGCAACAUAGCAUAAAUGAAGACAAAUAGUUGUCACGACCGGAGGUUGAAAGUAGAAAACAUAAUACAGAAGCUGGCGCUGCUGAUCGAGAUUCAAGGAUCGAUCCUUUAACGGUCAUGUAUCUAAAUUUUAAUGUUCAGAAUGAAUAAUGGAGAGAUACAAAUAUUUGACAUUCGCAUCGAUCAAUAAGAAAAGCAACAAGUCCGCGGAGCUACCUAACGAACAUGGUGCAUCAGUGAUGCAGUCACCUAUUGGGAUGAAGAAACAAUCGUCUCAUUUUCUUUUAAGUGCAGCCAUGAAACGUAUUAUUACACUAAUACAGUGAAACAUGAAUACAAGUUGUUAAUAAACAAACAAUCGUGAUCUGCUGGUGUAGGCUGAAUUACUCAAGAAAAUUACUCGGCACGUACGCACGACUUCUGUUUUGAUCUCGCUCCAUUCGGCACGAUAUCUAAUGUUUCCUAUUAGCGUUUUACAACUCAACGCUGUAAUUAUUAUCAGUCGUGUAUUUUACAUGGUCCUACGAGUUUGCUUUCACUGCGUGCUUUCGUUUUUACUUAAUGUCCCGUUCCUUUCCCCACUCCCCCUGUUACCAGCCGUCUCGGUAACGAUUUAUGUAUAUGUCGAUCGAUCCUCGAUUUUCUGACUCUGCCGCUUUCCUUCCGCGAUGUAUCGAACAAAUUUAUUCAUGUAGCAAUUGGUUAACGAUUGAGAAAUAAUUUUUACGUGAUACGAUUCCUGAAAUGGUUCGAUCGAAGCUUCCUAAAUGUAAGAAAAUGAUAAGCAAAUUUAAAUUUCGGACGAUAUUGAAGAGGAUUGAUUUGGUAGAUAUCAGAAUAUUUUUGGUAAUUCAUUUCAAUAAAAAUUGUUAAAGGGUUAGAUUUAACGUUAUUUCAUAAAAUAGUAAAUUUUUUAAUAUCGUUUGAAGCAAAUUUUUCGGGAUAAGAAGAAGCGUUUUGCAGUACCUAAUUGUGGGGGAAUAUUGUACUUUAUUUUAAUAAAAAUUUUUAUGGCGUCAAACUUGACGUGGUGUUACGAAACCAGCUAUUUUAGUAUUCAAGAUUGGCGAAAAAAUCCAUAUAUUUAUUUUAAAAUUCUUGGAACUUGGAAACUGGAAUAAAGUGGCGUGCCGAUCAAUUUAGAAAUUG